GACGAACGCUGGCGGCGUGCCUAAUACAUGCAAGUAGGACGCACAGUUUAUACCGUAGCUUGCUACACCAUAGACUGUGAGUUGCGAACGGGUGAGUAACGCGUAGGUAACCUGCCUAUUAGAGGGGGAUAACUAUUGGAAACGAUAGCUAAUACCGCAUAACAGUAUGUAACACAUGUUAGAUGCUUGAAAGAUGCAAUUGCAUCGCUAGUAGAUGGACCUGCGUUGUAUUAGCUAGUAGGUAGGGUAAUGGCCUACCUAGGCGACGAUACAUAGCCGACCUGAGAGGGUGAUCGGCCACACUGGGACUGAGACACGGCCCAGACUCCUACGGGAGGCAGCAGUAGGGAAUCUUCGGCAAUGGGGGGAACCCUGACCGAGCAACGCCGCGUGAGUGAAGAAGGUUUUCGGAUCGUAAAGCUCUGUUGUUAAGGAAGAACGAGUGUGAAAAUGGAAAGUUCAUACUGUGACGGUACUUAACCAGAAAGGGACGGCUAACUACGUGCCAGCAGCCGCGGUAAUACGUAGGUCCCGAGCGUUGUCCGGAUUUAUUGGGCGUAAAGCGAGCGCAGGCGGUUAGAAAAGUCUGAAGUGAAAGGCAGUGGCUCAACCAUUGUAGGCUUUGGAAACUGUUUAACUUGAGUGCAGAAGGGGAGAGUGGAAUUCCAUGUGUAGCGGUGAAAUGCGUAGAUAUAUGGAGGAACACCGGUGGCGAAAGCGGCUCUCUGGUCUGUAACUGACGCUGAGGCUCGAAAGCGUGGGGAGCGAACAGGAUUAGAUACCCUGGGUAGUCCAAGGGCGAAUUCCACAGUGGAUAUCAAGCUUAUCGAUACCGUCGACCUCGAGGGGGGGGCCCGGUACCCAGCUUUUGUUCCUUUAGUGAGGGGGUUA
RNAcentral lists this ribosomal RNA (891 nucleotides) under Streptococcus anginosus. RNAcentral's name for it is "bacterial SSU rRNA". It matches the Rfam family "Bacterial small subunit ribosomal RNA". Lineage: Bacteria; Bacillati; Bacillota; Bacilli; Lactobacillales; Streptococcaceae. The record is from RNAcentral.